This 464-nucleotide long non-coding RNA is filed under the name Capra hircus (goat). RNAcentral describes it as "lncRNA (ENSCHIG00010031963.1)". The record is from RNAcentral. Lineage: Eukaryota; Metazoa; Chordata; Mammalia; Artiodactyla; Bovidae.
GCAAGGCUGGAUAAGCUUAUCAAGUGCAGGCAAACUACAUCUUAGCUCUGAUCCUUUCAAGAAAUCCAUUUGGCGCCUUUAACAUUUCAUUUAGCAGAUUGAAUUUCGGACAUGUAUUUAUGGGGCUGGGUUUGCCCUUAACAGAGUAUUGCAUAAAUCCCAUUACAGUAUCCACUUUAGCGUGUUUGGGGUUUUCUAAGCCAGGGCUUUAUUUAAGUGGACAGCCCCAGAAUGAGCCGCUCUGGCUCAGAAACUCUCUCCUCUCCCUCUGGAUCCGAUCUUUGCAGAUUAUCUCCAUCAUCAUCAAUGUCAAGCGAUGUUUUAGGAGCAGUCCUUCUGGCACAGCCCAGAACGAGCCGCGUCUCAGCCUCGCUGACGGAGCCUCCUCACCCUCCAGUGACUUACAUACGGGGUUCCCAUCCAGGAAUCACCUCACCUCACAUCCCUCUUUCUUCUGGCCAUAG